Molecule: ribosomal RNA, 441 nt
Filed under: uncultured bacterium
Lineage: Bacteria
Description: partial 16S ribosomal RNA
Rfam family: Bacterial small subunit ribosomal RNA
Source: RNAcentral
CCUACGGGUGGCAGCAGUGGGGAAUAUUGCACAAUGGGGGAAACCCUGAUGCAGCAACGCCGCGUGGGUGAAGGAGCGUUUCGGCGCGUAAAGCCCUGUCAGCGGGGAAGAAGAAAGACGGUAACCGACCUAGAAGCCCCGGCUAACUACGUUGCAGCAGCCGCGGUAAUACGUAGGGGGCGAGCGUUAUCCGGAAUUACUGGGUGUAAAGGGAGCGUAGACGGCGAGGUAAGCCUGAAGUGGAAGCCCGCGGCCCAACCGCGGAACUGCGUUGGGAAAUGUCGGGCUGGAGUGUGGGAGGGGUAGGCGGAAUUCCUGGUGUAGCGGUGAAAUGCGUAGAUAUCAGGAGGAACACCAGUGGCGAAGGCGGCCUACUGGACCAUAACUGACGCUGAGGCUCGAAAGCGUGGGGAGCGAACAGGAUUAGAUACCCCAGUAGUC